RNAcentral lists this transfer RNA (77 nucleotides) under Mollicutes bacterium. RNAcentral's name for it is "tRNA-Arg". It matches the Rfam family "tRNA". Rfam says of the family: Transfer RNA (tRNA) molecules are approximately 80 nucleotides in length. Their secondary structure includes four short double-helical elements and three loops (D, anti-codon, and T loops). Further hydrogen bonds mediate the characteristic L-shaped molecular structure. tRNAs have two regions of fundamental functional importance: the anti-codon, which is responsible for specific mRNA codon recognition, and the 3' end, to which the tRNAs corresponding amino acid is attached (by aminoacyl-tRNA synthetases). tRNAs cope with the degeneracy of the genetic code in two manners: having more than one tRNA (with a specific anti-codon) for a particular amino acid; and 'wobble' base-pairing, i.e. permitting non-standard base-pairing at the 3rd anti-codon position. The record is from RNAcentral. Lineage: Bacteria; Bacillati; Mycoplasmatota; Mollicutes.
GUCCUCGUAGCUCAGCUGGAUAGAGCAAUGCCCUUCUAAGGCAUCGGUCGUACGUUCGAAUCGUACCGGGGACGCCA